UACGGAGGGUGCAAGCGUUAUCCGGAUUCACUGGGUUUAAAGGGUGCGUAGGUGGGCUGGUAAGUCAGUGGUGAAAUCUCCAGGCUUAACUUGGAAACUGCCAUUGAUACUAUCAGUCUUGAAUACCGUGGAGGUCAGCGGAAUAUGUCAUGUAGCGGUGAAAUGCUUAGAUAUGACAUAGAACACCAAUUGCGAAGGCAGCUGGCUACACGAAUAUUGACACUGAUGCACGAAAGCGUGGGGAGCGAACAGG
RNAcentral lists this ribosomal RNA (253 nucleotides) under uncultured bacterium. RNAcentral's name for it is "partial 16S ribosomal RNA". It matches the Rfam family "Bacterial small subunit ribosomal RNA", at positions 524 to 776 of the family's 1533-position model. The record is from RNAcentral.